CCUACGGGUGGCUGCAGUGGGGAAUAUUGGACAAUGGGCGAAAGCCUGAUCCAGCAAUGCCGCGUGUGUGAAGAAGGCCUUCGGGUUGUAAAGCACUUUAGGUCGGGAAGAAAGCGCUUUGGCUAACAUCCAAAGCUUUGACGGUACCGGCGAAAUAAGCACCGGCUAACUCUGUGCCAGCAGCCGCGGUAAUACAGAGGGUGCUAGCGUUAAUCGGAUUUACUGGGCGUAAAGCGUGUGUAGGCGGUUUGUUAAGUCGGAUGUGAAAGCCCCGG
RNAcentral lists this ribosomal RNA (275 nucleotides) under uncultured bacterium. RNAcentral describes it as "partial 16S ribosomal RNA". It matches the Rfam family "Bacterial small subunit ribosomal RNA", at positions 338 to 606 of the family's 1533-position model. The record is from RNAcentral.